GACUUGAACAUGUACAGUUUUGUCAUGCCAGACGUACCAUGCCAACCAAAUGACAAUGACUGCGGCGUUUUUAUUAUGAAAUUCAUGGACAACUGGUCCAAUGGGGGACUCUCCAAAUCGAUCGAUGUGGCCAAGAUGAAGAAGUAUAGAUUGAAGCUACUGGGCAGAUUAUUGCUUUCAUCACAUAAUGCGCAUCGGCAUCGAUUCAUGGCAGUUUGAGAUACACUUUUCAAUAGGAUGUGACGAGGAUUUUUAAAGCUGAUUGUACAUUAUACAGGAAAAAGUACAUACACAUGACAAUGUAUUGCGAAUAUUAUG
Vitis vinifera (wine grape) is the source of this 318-nucleotide long non-coding RNA. RefSeq lists it as uncharacterized. The transcript is spliced from 3 exons. Lineage: Eukaryota; Viridiplantae; Streptophyta; Magnoliopsida; Vitales; Vitaceae. The record is from RefSeq and is a predicted model, not a curated record.